GAUGAACGCUGGCGGCGUGCCUAAUACAUGCAAGUCGAGCGAACAGAUAAGGAGCUUGCUCCUUUGACGUUAGCGGCGGACGGGUGAGUAACACGUGGGUAACCUACCUAUAAGACUGGGAUAACUUCGGGAAACCGGAGCUAAUACCGGAUAACAUUUGGAACCGCAUGGUUCUAAAGUGAAAGAUGGUUUUGCUAUCACUUAUAGAUGGACCCGCGCCGUAUUAGCUAGUUGGUAAGGUAACGGCUUACCAAGGCGACGAUACGUAGCCGACCUGAGAGGGCGAUCGGCCACACUGGAACUGAGACACGGUCCAGACUCCUACGGGAGGCAGCAGUAGGGAAUCUUCCGCAAUGGGCGAAAGCCUGACGGAGCAACGCCGCGUGAGUGAUGAAGGGUUUCGGCUCGUAAAACUCUGUUAUUAGGGAAGAACAAAUGUGUAAGUAACUGUGCACGUCUUGACGGUACCUAAUCAGAAAGCCACGGCUAACUACGUG
RNAcentral lists this ribosomal RNA (497 nucleotides) under uncultured bacterium. RNAcentral describes it as "partial 16S ribosomal RNA". It matches the Rfam family "Bacterial small subunit ribosomal RNA", at positions 28 to 507 of the family's 1533-position model. The record is from RNAcentral.